GAUGAACGCUAGCUACAGGCUUAACACAUGCAAGUCGAGGGACCGGCGCACGGGUGAUUUACACGUAUCCACCCUCCCCUUUACUCGGGGAUAGCAUUUCGAUAGAAAGAUUAAUACCCGAUGUAAAGGUUGGUGAUGCGUUCCAUUAGGUUGUUGGUGAGGUAACGGCUCACCAAGCCUUCGAUGGAUAGGGGUUCUGAGAGGAAGGUCCCCGACAUUGGAACUGAGACACGGUCCAAACACCUACGGGAGGCAGCAGUGAGGAAUAUUGGUCAAUGGGCGUUAGCCUGAACCAGCCAAGUAGCGUGAAGGAUGAAGGCUUAUGGGUCGUAAACUUCUUUUAUAUAAGAAUAUGUAUUAUAUGAAGAAGCACCGGCUAACUCCGUGCCAGCAGCCGCGGUAAUUC
RNAcentral lists this ribosomal RNA (406 nucleotides) under uncultured bacterium. RNAcentral describes it as "partial 16S ribosomal RNA". It matches the Rfam family "Bacterial small subunit ribosomal RNA", at positions 28 to 526 of the family's 1533-position model. The record is from RNAcentral.